RNAcentral lists this ribosomal RNA (434 nucleotides) under uncultured Clostridium sp. Its description in RNAcentral is "partial 16S ribosomal RNA". It matches the Rfam family "Bacterial small subunit ribosomal RNA", at positions 341 to 792 of the family's 1533-position model. Lineage: Bacteria; Bacillati; Bacillota; Clostridia; Eubacteriales; Clostridiaceae. The record is from RNAcentral.
ACGGAAGGCAGCAGUGGGGGAUAUUGCACAAUGGGGGAAACCCUGAUGCAGCGACGCCGCGUGAGUGAUGAAGUAUUUCGGUACGUAAAGCUCUAUCAGCAGGGAAGAAAAUGACGGUACCUGACUAAGAAGCUCCGGCUAAAUACGUGCCAGCAGCCGCGGUAAUACGUAUGGAGCAAGCGUUAUCCGGAUUUACUGGGUGUAAAGGGAGCGUAGACGGUUUGCCAAGUCUGAUGUGAAAGGUGGGGGCUCAACCCCCAAACUGCAUUGGAAACUGGUAGACUAGAGUGUCGGAGAGGUAAGUGGAAUUCCUAGUGUAGCGGUGAAAUGCGUAGAUAUUAGGAGGAACACCAGUGGCGAAGGCGGCUUACUGGACGAUAACUGACGUUGAGGCUCGAAAGCGUGGGGAGCAAACAGGAUUAGAUACCCUGGUA